GACGAACGCUGGCGGCGUGCUUAACACAUGCAAGUCGAACGGAAAGGCCCUUCGGGGUCCUCGAGUGGCGAACGGGUGAGUAACACGUGGGCGAUCUGCCCUGCACUUUGUGAUAAGCCUGGGACACUGGGUCUAAUACCGAAUAGGACCACGCGCUUCAUGGUGUGUGGUGGAAAGCUUUUGCGGUGUGGGAUGGGCCCGCGGCCUAUCAGCUUGUUGGUGGGGUAAUGGCCUACAAAGGCGACGACGGGUAGCCGGCCUUAGAGGGGGACCGGGCACACUGGGACUGAGAUACGGCCCAGACUCCUACGGGAGGCAGCAGUGGGGAAUAUUGCACAAUGGGCGCAAGCCUGAUGCAGCGACGCCGCGUGAGGGAUGACGGCCUUCGGGUUGUAAACCUCUUUCAAUAGGGACGAAGCGCAAGUGACGGUACCUAUAGAAGAAGCACCGGCCAACUACGUG
Molecule: ribosomal RNA, 462 nt
Filed under: uncultured bacterium
Lineage: Bacteria
Description: partial 16S ribosomal RNA
Rfam family: Bacterial small subunit ribosomal RNA
Source: RNAcentral